RNAcentral lists this ribosomal RNA (786 nucleotides) under uncultured bacterium. RNAcentral describes it as "bacterial SSU rRNA". It matches the Rfam family "Bacterial small subunit ribosomal RNA", at positions 715 to 1506 of the family's 1533-position model. The record is from RNAcentral.
GCGAAGGCAAUCUUCAGGACGGGUACUGACGCUGAGACACGAAAGCCAAGGGAGCGAACAGGAUUAGAUACCCUGGUAGUCUUGGCCCUAAACUAUGUUCACUAGGUGUCGGGGGUUCCCCUCGGUGCCGCAGCUAACGCAUUAAGUGAACCGCCUGGGGACUACGGCCGCAAGGUUGAAACUCAAAGGAAUUGGCGGGGGCCCGCACAAGCGGUGGAGCAUGUGGCUUAAUUCGAUGCAACGCGAAGAACCUUACCAGGGCUUGACAUGGUACUGCAAGCUGCCGAAACGCAGUCGCUUUCGAAGGUGUAUCACAGGUGGUGCAUGGCUGUCGUCAGCUCGUGUUGUGAAAUGUUGGGUUAAGUCCCGCAACGAGCGCAACCCUCAUGUUCUGUUGCCAGCGAGUAAUGUCGGGAACUCGGAACAAACUGCCUCUGUAAGGAGGAGGAAGGUGGGGAUAACGUCAAGUCAUCAUGCCCCUUACGCCCUGGGCUGCACACAUGCUACAAUGGCCGGUACAAAGAGCUGCGAACUCGCGAGAGUAAGCCAAUCUCAAAAAGCCGGUCUCAGUUCGGAUUGGAGUCUGCAACUCGACUCCAUGAAGUUGGAAUCGCUAGUAACCGCCGGUCAGCAAUACGGCGGUGAAUACGUUCCCGGGCCUUGCACACACCGCCCGUCACGCCACGAAAGUUGGUCUUACCCGAAGUCGCCGUGCUAACCGCAAGGAGGCAAGCGCCUAAGGUAGGGCCGAUGAUUGGGACGAAGUCGUAACAAGGUAACCAAGGG